Molecule: long non-coding RNA, 2374 nt
Organism: Brassica napus (rape)
Lineage: Eukaryota; Viridiplantae; Streptophyta; Magnoliopsida; Brassicales; Brassicaceae
Exons: 10
Source: RefSeq, a predicted model, not a curated record
CUUAUCGGAUUCACUUUUGUUUUUCUCAUCUGAAAAAGGAUGUUAUUCACAACUCAAUUCUUCAACUGUUUAUCUUCCUUCACCUCUCUUUCUCCAUAUCUCAUUAAAUCUCUUCUUCGUCGCAACAGACGUGAUCCUUGGAACCGUCGCAAUUCCCUUCCCCUUUCACCCUAUAGAAUCACAUCAAGCAAUGGCUUCCGAAAUGCAAAAUCCACCUAGAGAAAUAAUUCUACAGUCUCAUUAACCAAAGAAAUCAACCGAGUUGUGGAUCACUCUCGAACCAUUUGUUUCAUUCACAUCUCUGAUCUCCCCGAGUUGGAAGACACCCGUUUGGGCUCAAAGGCGAUCUCUAUUCGUUAAUAAACCACAAAACAUAUGUUAAAUCAAGGUUAAAAUAUGGUUGGAACAGAUGGAGGCAGCAAACUACCCUGGGAAGAACCAACAACCAAUGUAGUUUUUUUCAGAUUACAUCUCAUCUGAGAAAUGAGAAUAUCACAUAUGUUGAUGAUCAUUUUCAUGAUAUCUCCAAGUAAGCUAAAUACACAUGAACCAAAAAAAACUACAACAUUUGUGUAGACGAUUGUAGCAUCUGACUGUAAUUGCAGGGACUGGCUAUACUCUGAAGUUUCAACUGUAUACAGGUUACAUACUACAAGAUAUGAUAAGAGGAAGAACAGUUCGAUGCAACAGUUUAAGAUGGCAUUGUCAUAUGAUCCAUUGCGCUGGGAAUCAUAUGGAGGAAUUUGUAGUUUAGGUGUCUUUGAAGAAUCCUUCCACAGUUCUCUGCAAUGUAGCUUCCCAGCUUCUCAGAAAACAUUGAUUUCACAAAGAAUAAACUUCUCAGAAGGAGAAACCAUGGACCAGCUUUGAUUGGCAAACAGAACAUGUUCCAGGAGAGUAACAACAUGAUCUGAUAUUAAAGCAGCUUAGAGCAGAGAUUCCGCCAGAUACUGACAAGCAACGUGACCGUAUUUCUCAUACACAUGUGAAAUAUCUUAAAGUUAAACUAGAAUGAGAGCGUAUUAGGUAUUGGAUGCUCCACUGCCUAAGCUCUAUAAGAAUAUGUGCCAUCCAAAAUGAGAGGGAUUGAUGUCCGUACAUGGAGUCUUAAAAAUAUUUCUGCGCAUUGUGCAUAUUUUGAUAUAGAGGUUCUGCACCUGAUUUCCUCUUCCAGCUCUAUGGCUGAAUUUAUUUGUUCUUUUAUUUCAGUGACAAUCUAAUGCUACUUGAUUUAUUUGUCGUCUUUUAAUUUCACAUCUUCUAUCUUUAAAGCCCCAGAAGAAUCUGAGCAUCACAGGAGUGGUUAAAUAGCAACAAGGAGAAAGAUUCAUAUAUAUCAGUCAGCUGGAUUGCUCUCAUCUCCGGUUUCAGGUACCAUGCACCAUCAGAAGCUGGUGCGGAUAUUCUUUUGGAUUCUUUGUCAAUGGGAGGGCUUACUGCUGCGCAAAACAGCUUACUGGAUGGAGACUUACUAUUUAUUCACGAGAAUAAUGCUUCAAUAGCCACCAUCGAAUCAUUUUCAUCAACUUCUCCCUUUGCUUCUACUUCAAUGAUGGAUUUAUAGGACGUAUUUUCUCCCUCACCUCAAAAAGGGGACAAGGGUCCAACAUUUCCAUCCCUUUUUGCAUUGGAGAGCAGUACUUAACAAAUAUAAUGUGCCAUUUGAAUUGUGAGAUAUUACUCUAGAUGUGUCCGCUUUCUUUUACAUGCUGCAGUUCCAAAAGUCAGAUCUAAAUCUGAUCUCAUCUAAAUCUUUUUUAAUUCUUUGGAUCUCUAUCUUCCUCAAUCACCACCACCACACGACGACCCGUUUGUUUUCGCCGUCCCAGCAUCACAACCACCACCACACGACCGUUCGUUCGCCGUCCCAGCAUCACCACCACCACACAACCACGGUUAGAACUCAUCUCUCUCUCUCUCUCUCUCUCUCUGUUUUGAACUUUUUUUAGGGAUAGAGGAAGCAAGGCAAGGCAGGUAUAGUGGCUGGAGGAGGAAGAUGACGGCUUCAGAUUCAGGAAGAGGAAGCUGACGGCGAGUUGGUGAGGAGGCGACGAGAUUAGGUCUAGAUGGAUGUGACGUUUGCCUCCUCUCUGCAACUUGCCUCUCACAUCCCAGGAUGAAGAAGAAGAAUCAUGGCUGGAUACUGAUGAAGGUCAUGGAAAAACACGAAGACGAAGGUGGUGGUGCGGCCGAUAGAUGAAGAAGACAACGAAGUGGUGGUGUGUUUAGUUAGUAAUUUGGUUAAAGCCUGGUUUAGUUUUUGGUUUAUUUAGUUUGUUGGUUUAUUAUUUAAUCUGAUUUUUUUUGUAUUUUUGUAAACCAAUUUAAUUAUAGAUAAAUUUAAGUAAUAAAGAAAAUUUGAUUUUAUGAAUAA